This 495-nucleotide ribosomal RNA is filed under the name uncultured bacterium. RNAcentral's name for it is "partial 16S ribosomal RNA". It matches the Rfam family "Bacterial small subunit ribosomal RNA", at positions 28 to 507 of the family's 1533-position model. The record is from RNAcentral.
GACGAACGCUGGCGGCGUGCCUAAUACAUGCAAGUAGAACGCUGAAGGAGGAGCUUGCUUCUCUGGAUGAGUUGCGAACGGGUGAGUAACGCGUAGGUAACCUGCCUGGUAGCGGGGGAUAACUAUUGGAAACGAUAGCUAAUACCGCAUAAUAGCAGUUGUUGCAUGACAACUGUUUGAAAGGUGCAAAUGCAUCACUACCAGAUGGACCUGCGUUGUAUUAGCUAGUUGGUGGGGUAAAGGCUCACCAAGGCGACGAUACAUAGCCGACCUGGGAGGGUGAUCGGCCACACUGGGACUGAGACACGGGCCAGACUCCUACGGGAGGCAGCAGUAGGGAAUCUUCGGCAAUGGACGGAAGUCUGACCGAGCAAAGCCGCGUGAGUGAAGAAGGUUUUCGGAUCGUAAAGCUCUGUUGUAAGAGAAGAACGAGUGUGAGAGUGGAAAGUUCACACUGUGACGGUAUCUUACCAGAAAGGGACGGCUAACUACGUG